Ictalurus punctatus (channel catfish) is the source of this 1800-nucleotide long non-coding RNA. The record is from Ensembl. NCBI's taxonomy places the organism in Eukaryota, Metazoa, Chordata, Actinopteri, Siluriformes, Ictaluridae.
GUUUUAACUCGCGAUCUCCGGACGAUAGAACGAACUCUUUUCUUGGCGGUGAGAAAUUUUGCACAGCUGAAAAUGAGCUCGGUUUAAACUGUAGGUUGCGUUAUUAUCCUCUUUGCUAAGCCACUGUUGAGUCUGUUCCGAAUUGACAGGUGGCGUGGCGUAGCUGAAACAGUGUUGGCGGUUGUGGAAAUCACCGAAACCCAUUUGACACGCUCUAUCCUUUCCCUUCCCUGAAAAGAAUGUGUGUAAACAAAAGCACAGCUUUCCAGCCAUUUCAUGAACACUUUAAGGAAGUGAUUUAACCUAAUCUCCGGCUAAUCGAAACCUCAUCCGAUCACAUCUGUGACACCUGGAUGAUUACCAGAGGGAAGAAUUCUGACCGGUUUAGCAGAACUAAGAAAUGACUAGAAAACUGUUUCCUUUAUAAUGGAGGAAGCCUAAGGGCAGGUGUUGGAGCAGCUCACUGUUCAUGCUAAAAAUGCUUUCAUGCAUUAUCCAGUGGUAUUUAAGCCAAUAGUGCAAAUUAAAUAUCUAAUUGUAUAAAUUCUCUCUGACAUUCUAUUGAAUAGUAUAGAUAGUAUAGUAAAAUCUGUUGGUUCAGAGGGCGGGAUUUAUGGUUAAUUAUGCAUUAGUAAUGAAGCCGUGCUGAUUUGAUUGCGCAUGGAUAUCACAAAACCCAUUGGCAUUAAUGGCAUAUUUUUAAUAUUUAUUGACAGUGUUUUUGAAAAUUUUCUGUCAGUGGGAUUUCUUUUCCUUUUUAAAAAAAUUUUUUUUUUUAUCCUUUCUCCUGUGAAAGCAAAAUCAACAAUAGCGAUAAGACAGCGUCUUACAUAAUUGAAUAAAUUAAAACUUAUUAAAGGUUGAAAUGCCCGGUGCAACACACACUUCCUGGAUAAUAUUACCAAAUAGACUGAGAGUUUGUGACCAUCUUAAUUUUCCAAGGUCCUUGUUUAUUUAUCGCCAUGUUUUCUGAACUGUAAGUUCCUUCUGCGUUUAAGACACAGGCCUCUAAAUUCUGUUGGGUUCAUUCAAAAUCUGUAUAUUCAUAUAUUGCUCAAAAUGGAUGCAGAGCUUUACUGAUAUGAUUGCCAAACUCCAACUGGGUUCUCAAACACCAGCAUCUGUUGAUACAGGAUGAUAAAAGAAGUGAUGAUAAAAGAAGCCCCUUAUAAAUACAAGUGCUUACAAAACGUGGACUCUCAAAUGCUAAACUCUCAAACAAGAGUGAAUUUAAAGUUGAUUUUUGUCACAGUUCAAGUAAUCGUAGGAGACACUGUCGAUCAGUGCGUUUACAUGGACAACAAUAAUCCGAUAUUAAGACGAUACUCUGAUUAAGAAACUAGCAUGUAAACAGCGAUUAUUGAUGACCUUAAUCCGACUAAAGUCAUACUCGAAGUGAACACAAAUGGAAUUAAGACGUGUGGAGUAUUCCUGUUUUAGUCGCGUUAUCGAAGUGCGUUACAGACACGUACACACCUUAAUCACACUGUUAACAUCGUGUAGAAGUUUUCACCACAUUGUGCGACAGGACACGAUCACACAUGGCAGCGCUCAACCGUUUGACGGCAAGAGAGCACGGCUGCGUCCCAAACCGCGUACUUACCUACUAUAUAGUAGGUAAGUACACGUAUCUCGGCUACUAUAUAGUAGGUAAGUACACGUAUCUCGGCUACUAUAUAGUAGGUAAGUACACGUAUCUCGGCUACUAUAUAGUAGGUAAGUACACGUAUCUCGGCUACUAUAUAGUAGGUAAGUACACGUAUCUCGGCUACUAUAUAGUAGGUAAGUACACGUAUCUCG